GUGACCCCAGGUCAGGCGGGACUACCCGCU
RNAcentral lists this ribosomal RNA (30 nucleotides) under Hypericum quitense. RNAcentral's name for it is "partial 26S ribosomal RNA". The record is from RNAcentral. Lineage: Eukaryota; Viridiplantae; Streptophyta; Magnoliopsida; Malpighiales; Hypericaceae.